AGGGGAGUAGCUCAAUUGGUAGAGUAGUGGUCUCCAAAACCAUUGGUUGCGGGUUCGAGUCCUGUCUCCCCUGCCA
Molecule: transfer RNA, 76 nt
Filed under: Clostridiales bacterium
Lineage: Bacteria; Bacillati; Bacillota; Clostridia; Eubacteriales
Also listed under: 4 other names
Description: tRNA-Trp
Rfam family: tRNA
About the family: Transfer RNA (tRNA) molecules are approximately 80 nucleotides in length. Their secondary structure includes four short double-helical elements and three loops (D, anti-codon, and T loops).
Source: RNAcentral